CGAAGCGCUUAGGUCAGAUUCUUCGGAUGAAGGCUUUUGUGACUGAGCGGCGGACGGGUGAGUAACGCGUGGGUAACCUGCCUUACACAGGGGGAUAACAGUUAGAAAUGACUGCUAAUACCGCAUAAGACCACAGUACUGCAUGGUACAGUGGUAAAAACUGAGGUGGUGUAAGAUGGACCCGCGUCUGAUUAGGUAGUUGGUGGGGUAACGGCCCACCAAGCCGACGAUCAGUAGCCGGCCUGAGAGGGUGGACGGCCACAUUGGGACUGAGACACGGCCCAGACUCCUACGGGAGGCAGCAGUGGGGAAUAUUGCACAAUGGGGGAAACCCUGAUGCAGCGACGCCGCGUGAGCGAUGAAGUAUUUCGGUAUGUAAAGCUCUAUCAGCAGGGAAGAAAAUGACGGUACCUGACUAAGAAGCCCCGGCUAACUACGUGCCAGCAGCCGCGGUAAUACGUAGGGGGCAAGCGUUAUCCGGAUUUACUGGGUGUAAAGGGAGCGUAGACGGCAUGGCAAGCCAGAUGUGAAAUACCGGGGCUCAACCCCGGGACUGCAUUUGGAACUGUUAAGCUGGAGUGUCGGAGAGGCAGGCGGAAUUCCUAGUGUAGCGGUGAAA
This 619-nucleotide ribosomal RNA is filed under the name uncultured bacterium. RNAcentral describes it as "bacterial SSU rRNA". It matches the Rfam family "Bacterial small subunit ribosomal RNA", at positions 63 to 686 of the family's 1533-position model. The record is from RNAcentral.